Gadus chalcogrammus (walleye pollock) is the source of this 773-nucleotide non-coding RNA. NCBI's taxonomy places the organism in Eukaryota, Metazoa, Chordata, Actinopteri, Gadiformes, Gadidae. The record is from the annotation of a RefSeq genome assembly.
ACCAGAUGCUUCUACUCUCUAGGGCUGCCUGGAGCUCUCUGUGUUUAGCGGUGGUUGCCAUGGCAGCAGAGCUGACUCAGGACCAGGUGUCGUGGACCAGGAGCAAAGGGAAAGCCGUCUCCUUCAGAUGUACAAACACAGACCAGUGUUUUACUAAUUAUAUCUACUGGUACCAGAAGAAAGAGGGGGAAACAUUCACCCUGAUUCUUGACAUUGACAGGCGUGAUGGUGCGCUUGAUAAAAGAUACAACCAUCCUCAGGAAGAUGAUUUCUCAUCAGACCUCAAAGAGAACAGCUGGGAGUUGUCGCUUCAGAAGGUGAAAGCGUCGCAUUCUGCCACCUACUACUGUUCCUGUCGGACUAGUGGUGUCACACAGUGAGACGUUCUCCUUCCUGCCCGUACAAAAACUCUGGUGAUCACAUGACCCAGCAGGUCAUCUCUCAUUGGCUGUUCAAUCUACAUUCAGGCGCUAAUGUAAACUGGACAUGAGUGAGAAGAUCUGAAUCAAUCUCUGUUUCACAGUUCGAUCACAGCCUGGACCUUACUGUCUGUAUUCUAAGCUUCAAUCCAAGCCUCUCCUAUACUGUGCAGAGUUAAUAUCAUCACUGAACUUGUUGUUGGUUACGGUGAGGUGGAUCAAACUAAAGAGUAACAGACAGACAUCUGGAGGCUCGGACGGAAAUUAAAGGCUUCAUGCUCACACCUCAAGAAACAAGAUUCUAGUUAAAUACUGAGCUCUGUGGUAGUGAAGCACUCUCUUGAAGUUCUUACA